Eubalaena glacialis (North Atlantic right whale) is the source of this 683-nucleotide long non-coding RNA. RefSeq lists it as uncharacterized. The record is from RefSeq and is a predicted model, not a curated record. Lineage: Eukaryota; Metazoa; Chordata; Mammalia; Artiodactyla; Balaenidae. The transcript has 3 exons.
CUAUCCGGAGGCUCUGAGUUGCGAGAACUACAACUCCCACAAGGCUGCGCACAGCGGGCCCUCCCCGGGAGGUAUUACCCCGCCCCCGGCAGUGGGCCUAGCUCCUCGGGCCGGCAGGUUGGAAGUCACGAGAACUGGCGGCCAGCGUGUGUAGGAGUGAAUCCGCUAGUUUGCCAAGCUGAUUGGCAGAAAAAGCAAGCCUGCACCCUCCAAGCUGCACUAUUACACCUGGGAGACAAGCCUCAACCAGAAGUCCCUGAAGAAAUUCUACAAAAGUCAUAAAAUUUCUGUGUGCUCCAAGGACAAUGGUGCUUCAAGGACAAAGGACGACCCUGCCUGAAAAAGUGUCAGCAUUACACCCCUGCCGGACUCUUAAUCGCCCUCCCCACCAGGUUGCAUGGUUAUGAAAUUCCUGAGCCCACCUGGGCUACGCCCACCUGGGCAACGGGACCUGUCCCAAAUAAGGAAAGGCAUCUGGGCUGUCCCAUUCUCACCCUAUAGAAGGAAGGUAUAUGUGCCUCGACCAAUCAGUAAACGAAAUUUUCACCUCGGACCAUUCCUUUGUUUUCUGGCUGUAAAAACUGAUCAGUACCACAUGUUCGGGCUCAACUAGGAAGCUGAACCCAAACUGGAAGUUGUCUCCCAGACUACUAGAAAGUCGGCCCGCUGUUCUGGCAGUGACC